AAUUCGAUUUUAAUUUCCUCCCCUAACGUCGUUUUACUCCUUUAUAGUUAAAAAAUAAAAAUAAAACUUUUAACUCCAUGCCCAUUGCCAUUUUUUCUUCCUCAACCCCGAUUCUUAAACGCCCAAAUUUGGAACCCUAGAUUUUUCUCUGCAGAACUUUUCUUAAUCCUUAUUUCGUAUUUGAUUUCGAGAAGCGUAAGCGGCUGCGUCCAGACGGUAAACGCCACAGCCACAGCCAUCGUUUCCGCCGAGUCCACAGUCCAUCCCUUAGUCUUCAAUUGUUCAGUGGUGCAGAAAAAACUCCCAUGACUUCUGGGCGAAAGGUCUUCUGAUUAGGAGUGGAACACGACUCCCUUGAUUUUGGGGUGUAAUUUGGGUUUGAAUGAGAAUUUUAAAAGAUCCUAUACUUGAUGAUAAAAUUGCAAAUUGGUUAUAGGUGUAAGUUGUGUUUGUUUUUGCUUAUUAGCAUCUUCCUGAAGCCUCAAAUGUUGAAAGAAACAUUUCAGGAAUUUAGCCUUUGUGCUUUUUGGUAAACAUACGUGUAAAACUAAAAAAGCGAAGCGCUAUUUAUGUUGUUUUGCUUUUUUUAAACGCUGCCUUGUUUGUUUUGUGCCUCUAGUCAUAGCAUGAUAUAGCUUUAAGGUCAUCGUUUUUAAGAAA
This is a long non-coding RNA of Gossypium arboreum, 660 nucleotides long. RefSeq lists it as uncharacterized. The record is from RefSeq and is a predicted model, not a curated record. Lineage: Eukaryota; Viridiplantae; Streptophyta; Magnoliopsida; Malvales; Malvaceae. The transcript has 2 exons.